This is a non-coding RNA of Schizosaccharomyces pombe (fission yeast), 266 nucleotides long. Lineage: Eukaryota; Fungi; Ascomycota; Schizosaccharomycetes; Schizosaccharomycetales; Schizosaccharomycetaceae. The record is from the annotation of a GenBank genome assembly.
UUAAAAACGUUAAUUGCAUUACUUGAUCAACGAGUGAACUGUAUACGUAUCGAUGAAUAAGUGUAAAUAAGAAAGGAUAAAUGAUUUUAACAUACAGUACGAAAGCAACUAGAUAGUUAAUCUUCAUUCUUUUUUUUUAUUCGAGAACCGAACUUCCAUAAAGAUCAUUGCAAUGGCGGAAUUGCCAUCAACCAUUUAUAAAGCGGGAUCAUAAAACUUUGAGCGACGGUAUUCAAUCAUCGAAACUUCUCAAAAGGUUGAACUAA